UACAGAGGGGGCAAGCGUUGUUCGGAAUUACUGGGCGUAAAGGGCGCGUAGGCGGCCUGCUAAGUCGAACGUGAAAUCCCUGGGCUCAACCCAGGAACUGCGUCCGAUACUGGUUGGCUUGAAUCCGGGAGAGGGACGUGGAAUUCCAGGUGUAGCGGUGAAAUGCGUAGAUAUCUGGAGGAACACCGGUGGCGAAGGCGACGUCCUGGACCGGCAUUGACGCUGAGGCGCGAAGGCGUGGGGAGCGAACAGG
Molecule: ribosomal RNA, 253 nt
Filed under: uncultured bacterium
Lineage: Bacteria
Description: partial 16S ribosomal RNA
Rfam family: Bacterial small subunit ribosomal RNA
Source: RNAcentral